GACGAACGCUGGCGGCGUGCUUAACACAUGCAGGUCGAGCGGUAAGGCUCCUUCGGGAGUACACGAGCGGCGAACGGGUGAGUAACACGUGAGUAACCUGCCCUUCUCAUCGGAAUAAGCGUUGGAAACGAUGUCUAAUGCCGAAUACGACUUCGGAAGGGAUCUUCUGAAGUGGAAAGCUCCGGCGGAGAAGGAUGGACUCGCGGCCUAUCAGCUUGUUGGUGAGGUAACGGCUCACCAAGGCGACGACGGGUAGCCGGCCUGAGGGGGUGGCCGGCCACCCUGGGACUGAGACACGGCCCAGACUCCUACGGGAGGCAGCAGUGGGGAAUAUUGGACAAUGGGCGCAAGCCUGAUCCAGCAACGCCGCGUGAGGGAUGACGGCCUUCGGGUUGUAAACCUCUUUCAGCAGGGACGAAGCGCAAGUGACGGUACCUGCAGAAGAAGGACCGGCCAACUACGUGCCAGCCGCCGCGGUAA
Molecule: ribosomal RNA, 480 nt
Filed under: uncultured bacterium
Lineage: Bacteria
Description: partial 16S ribosomal RNA
Rfam family: Bacterial small subunit ribosomal RNA
Source: RNAcentral